Molecule: ribosomal RNA, 488 nt
Filed under: uncultured Pelotomaculum sp.
Lineage: Bacteria; Bacillati; Bacillota; Clostridia; Eubacteriales; Desulfotomaculaceae
Description: bacterial SSU rRNA
Rfam family: Bacterial small subunit ribosomal RNA
Source: RNAcentral
GAAACUUAAAGGAAUUGACGGGGGCCCGCACAAGCGGUGGAGCAUGUGGUUAAUUCGACGCAACGCGAAGAACCUUACCAGGGCUUGACAUCCCCUGACCGCGUAUGAAAGUACGUUUUCACCCUCGGGUGACAGGGAGACAGGUGGUGCAUGGUUGUCGUCAGCUCGUGUCGUGAGAUGUUGGGUUAAGUCCCGCAACGAGCGCAACCCCUACGUUUAGUUGCUAACGCGUGAAGGCGAGCACUCUAGACGAACUGCCGUUGACAAAACGGAGGAAGGUGGGAUGACGUCAAAUCAUCAUGCCCCUUAUGUUCUGGGCUACACACGUGCUACAAUGGCCGGUACAGACGGACGCAAAGCCGCGAGGUGGAGCAAAUCCUAAAAAGCCGGUCUCAGUUCGGAUUGCAGGCUGCAAUUCGCCUGCAUGAAGCCGGAAUCGCUAGUAAUCGCGGAUCAGCCAUGCCGCGGUGAAUACGUUCCCGGGCCUU